Molecule: ribosomal RNA, 464 nt
Filed under: uncultured bacterium
Lineage: Bacteria
Description: partial 16S ribosomal RNA
Rfam family: Bacterial small subunit ribosomal RNA
Source: RNAcentral
GACGAACGCUGGCGGCGUGCUUAACACAUGCAAGUCGAACGGUAAGGCCCCAGCUUGCUGGGGUACACGAGUGGCGAACGGGUGAGUAACACGUGGGUGACCUGCCCCGCACUUCGGGAUAAGCCUGGGAAACUGGGUCUAAUACCGGAUAGGACCGCACCGUGAGGGUGUGGUGGAAAGUUUUUCGGUGUGGGAUGGGCCCGCGGCCUAUCAGCUUGUUGGUGGGGUAAUGGCCUACCAAGGCGGCGACGGGUAGCCGGCCUGAGAGGGUGGACGGCCACAUUGGGACUGAGACACGGCCCAGACUCCUACGGGAGGCAGCAGUGGGGAAUAUUGCACAAUGGGCGGAAGCCUGAUGCAGCGACGCCGCGUGGGGGAUGACGGCCUUCGGGUUGUAAACGCCUUUCACCAUCGACGAAGGUUUUCUGACGGUAGAUGGAGAAGAAGCACCGGCUAACUACGUG